ACUGUGUGAAACAUACUGUAUGCACCUCUGUAUGAAAACACUUUCCUGCAGCUUUGCACGGAAGCAGAAGCCAUGAUCUGUGGCAAAUGGAAACAUAAUGCAAAAUAACAGAGUUGCAUAUUGAGAGUUGCAUGCCUUAGAUUUACUCUCAGUUUUAAUCUGCUUUUGUUUGAGGUGUUCCCUGCAGAAUCCCACCCCCUCAUGAUGAAGGACGGGAGGAGAGGUGCAGGGCUACAACCACAUCUUCUGUUACCUUCUCCACUUUCAGGAGGGCAGAAAUGUAAGUACAUCUCAUCUGUCUUUCUUCUUUUUCACUAUGGAGAGCAUUUCUAUUUUCUCAUGCGCUGUAUUUGCCUUGCCUUGUGUUAGGAGUGGAAACUUGUCACACACAAACACACAAAACAAUCAAAGGCACUGCUAAAAAAGAACAGCAGAUUUGUUCUGCAUCACACUGUAGCAUCAUCUCACAAUGUAUAUUAAUGAGAGCCCCCCUUCCACAACACUGCAGACACAUCUGUUAUUUUGCCUAAUAGCAAAUGUCGGUCUGGAUAAUGAUGGUAAUGAUGCCAUGAUCCCCUCAGAGAGGUCGGGUGCUGAGUCUGCAAAAGUAACUAAGAAACACUUCACCAGGCAGCCUGUCAGAUCAAGUCAAGUCAGAUCACAGUUUGCCUCAGAGGGCUUAACAGUCUGUAAAAUAAACCAUCUGUCCUCAGUCCUCUUAAUUUGGAUAGGAAACAAAUCCCCACAAAAAAAACUUUUUACUGAAAAAAUUAUCCAAGAGACCUCAGACAGCCUCUGUUGAAGAACUGAAGUUGCCCCUGUUUUUCUGACAAACACUUUAACUGAUCCAUAGUUUAGUUUUCUGAGCGUGCAAACAUACAAGUUAUGAGAGAUAAGAAACAGGCUCUACAUGACAGAGUCUUUAACCAUUUUAUCUACUGUAAACAGUAAACACCAAUUCACUUCACUACAUGACCGUAAUCUCUCCUGAAUCUUAACAGAAUACUUUUAAGUUGACCAGGAUUUCUCAUAGGUUGCAUAUGAGUAAACAUACUUAUUUGAAUUGCUUUGGUAGACGUGUUCUAAGUCAUGCAUUGAUUUCUGAAGAGGCAUUACAGCAACAUUUGUUAAUGGUUUGUUUAAAGGAGAAGUAGGUGUGGCGUCAAGUCAAGUUCAUCCCCAAGUCCUUGUUGCAAACGUUUAUCUUAUAUUAAAGCAGCAGAGUUUUUAAAUGGGAAUAUUAAGUGAUAUCAGAAUAGAGAGAAAAAUGUAGUGAGUAAAUGAGUUAAUUAAAGUCAUUCAUGAAUAUUCAUUAAUAAAUUGGAGAAAAAGAACAUAAACUCCAAGGACUAAUCCUAUAACAGAAAUAGCAGAUAAAUGAUGUAAAACAAAUAAUGAAAU
Molecule: non-coding RNA, 1401 nt
Organism: Xyrichtys novacula (pearly razorfish)
Lineage: Eukaryota; Metazoa; Chordata; Actinopteri; Labriformes; Labridae
Source: the annotation of a GenBank genome assembly